This 253-nucleotide ribosomal RNA is filed under the name uncultured bacterium. RNAcentral's name for it is "partial 16S ribosomal RNA". It matches the Rfam family "Bacterial small subunit ribosomal RNA", at positions 524 to 776 of the family's 1533-position model. The record is from RNAcentral.
UACGUAGGGUGCAAGCGUUGUCCGGAAUUAUUGGGCGUAAAGAGCUCGUAGGCGGUUUGUUGCGUCGGCUGUGAAAUCCCGAGGCUCAACCUCGGGUCUGCAGUCGAUACGAGCAAACUAGAGUGUUGCAGGGGAGACUGGAAUUCCUGGUGUAGCGGUGAAAUGCGCAGAUAUCAGGAGGAACACCUGCGGUGUAGGCGGCUUACUGGACGGUAACUGACGCUGAGGCACGAAAGCGUGGGUAGCAAACAGG